AGUUCACAUCGACGGGGAGGUUUGGCACCUCGAUGUCGGCUCAUCGCAUCCUGGGGCUGUAGUCGGUCCCAAGGGUUGGGCUGUUCGCCCAUUAAAGCGGUACGCGAGCUGGGUUCAGAACGUCGUGAGACAGUUCGGUCCCUAUCCGUCGUGGGCGUAGGAAAUUUGAGAGGAGCUGUCCUUAGUACGAGAGGACCGGGAUGGACAUACCUCUGGUGUACCAGUUGUCGUGCCAACGGCAUAGCUGGGUAGCUAUGUGUGGACGGGAUAAGUGCUGAAAGCAUCUAAGCAUGAAGCCCCCCUCAAGAUGAGAUUUCCCAACUUCGGUUAUAAGAUCCCUCAAAGAUGAUGAGGUUAAUAGGUUCGAGGUGGAAGCAUGGUGACAUGUGGAGCUGACGAAUACUAAUCGAUCGAAGACUUAAUCAAAA
Molecule: ribosomal RNA, 428 nt
Filed under: Staphylococcus aureus
Lineage: Bacteria; Bacillati; Bacillota; Bacilli; Caryophanales; Staphylococcaceae
Description: partial 23S ribosomal RNA
Rfam family: Bacterial large subunit ribosomal RNA
Source: RNAcentral